UUGUAGACCAGGCUAUAAUAAUUAUCAAAGACCAUAGACCAUAACCUCACACCAAACCCAACACUUUCAAUUACUGAAGGAGGGGAGAUUGAAACACAAGCCAAGUCACCGAAUUCACUCCUUGCAGACUUGGUCCAUGGCAUACAGCAAUGUCGAGGCAAUACCAUGUUUCGGAAAAAUCUUCAUGCAGACAUAGUUUCAAAAAUUGUGGAGGGCCAAGCUAGAUGGGGUGUCAUAAAAAACCGC
This 246-nucleotide long non-coding RNA is filed under the name Prunus persica (peach). RNAcentral's name for it is "long non-coding RNA (PPER_LNC006004)". The record is from RNAcentral. Lineage: Eukaryota; Viridiplantae; Streptophyta; Magnoliopsida; Rosales; Rosaceae.